This 554-nucleotide ribosomal RNA is filed under the name Hysterangium sp. 'setchellii'. Its description in RNAcentral is "Hysterangium setchellii partial 25S ribosomal RNA". It matches the Rfam family "Eukaryotic large subunit ribosomal RNA", at positions 77 to 624 of the family's 3401-position model. The record is from RNAcentral. Lineage: Eukaryota; Fungi; Basidiomycota; Agaricomycetes; Hysterangiales; Hysterangiaceae.
CCCCUAGUAACGGCGAGUGAAGCGGGAAGAGCUCAAAUUUGUAAUCUGGCGGUCUCAGGCCGUCCGAGUUGUAGUCUGGAGAAGCGUUUUCCGUGCCGGACCGUGUACAAGUCCCUUGGAACAGGGCGUCGUAGAGGGUGAGAAUCCCGUCUCUGACACGGACCGCCGGUGCUCUGUGAUGCGCUCUCGAAGAGUCGAGUUGUUUGGGAAUGCAGCUCAAAAUGGGUGGUAAAUUCCAUCUAAAGCUAAAUAUGGGCGAAAGACCGAUAGCGAACAAGUACCGUGAGGGAAAGAUGAAAAGCACUUUGGAAAGAGAGUUAAACAGUACGUGAAAUUGUUGAAAGGGAACCGUUUGAAGUCAGUCGCGUCCGUCGAGGUUCAGCCGUGGGGGUCUUCNNNNNNNNNNNNNNNNNNNNNNGGACGGGCCAGCAUCGAUUUCGACCGUUCGAGAAGGGCUCGGGGAACGUGGCACCUCCGGGUGUGUUAUAGCCCCGUGUCGUAUGGGACGGUCGGGAUCGAGGACCGCAGCGUGCCCCUCAGUCGGGGUCGGGGUU